RNAcentral lists this ribosomal RNA (416 nucleotides) under uncultured bacterium. RNAcentral describes it as "bacterial SSU rRNA". It matches the Rfam family "Bacterial small subunit ribosomal RNA", at positions 29 to 491 of the family's 1533-position model. The record is from RNAcentral.
AACGAACGCUGGCGGCAGGCCUAACACAUGCAAGUCGAACGCCCCGCAAGGGGAGUGGCAGACGGGUGAGUAACACGUGGGAACCUUUCCAGUGGUACGGAAUAGCCCAGGGAAACUUGGAGUAAUACCGUAUACGCCCCUAGGGGGAAAGAUUUAUCGCCAUUGGGUGGGCCCGCGUCGGAUUAGCUAGUUGGUGAGGUAACGGCUCACCAAGGCGACGAUCCGUAGCUGGUCUGAGAGGAUGAUCAGCCACACUGGGACUGAGACACGGCCCAGACUCCUACGGGAGGCAGCAGUGGGGAAUAUUGGACAAUGGGCGCAAGCCUGAUCCAGCCAUGCCGCGUGAGUGACGAAGGCCUUAGGGUUGUAAAGCUCUUUUGGUCGGGGACGAUAAUGACGGUACCCGCAGAAUAAGC